CCCGGCACAAGCGUGGAGCAUGUGGUUUAAUUCGAUGAUACGCGAGGACCUUACCUGGGCUCAAAUGUAUGUUGACGUAUUCUGAAAGGGAUACUUCUUCGGACAAUAUACAAGGUGCUGCAUGGUUGUCGUCAGCUCGUGCCGUGAGGUGUCGGGUUAAGUCCCAUAACGAGCGCAACCCCUAUCAUUAGUUGCCAUCAGGUCAAGCUGGGGACUCUAAUGAAACUGCCUACGCAAGUAGUGAGGAAGGUGGGGAUGACGUCAAAUCAGCACGGCCCUUACGUCCAGGGCUACACACGUGCUACAAUGGCCGGUACAAAGGGCAGCUACCUGGUGACAGGAUGCUAAUCUCAAAAGCCGGUCUCAGUUCGGAUCGGAGUCUGCAACCCGACUCCGUGAAGCUGGAAUCGCUAGUAAUCGUGGAUCAGCAUGCCACGGUGAAUACGUUCCCGGGCCUU
Molecule: ribosomal RNA, 458 nt
Filed under: uncultured Sphingobacteriales bacterium
Lineage: Bacteria; Pseudomonadati; Bacteroidota; Sphingobacteriia; Sphingobacteriales
Description: bacterial SSU rRNA
Rfam family: Bacterial small subunit ribosomal RNA
Source: RNAcentral